Rattus norvegicus (Norway rat) is the source of this 6424-nucleotide non-coding RNA. NCBI's taxonomy places the organism in Eukaryota, Metazoa, Chordata, Mammalia, Rodentia, Muridae. The record is from RefSeq and is a predicted model, not a curated record.
AUGGACAGAUCAGGGAAACAGAAAUUAAACAAAGACACAGAAAGACUAACAGGUUAUGAAACAAAUGGAUUUAACAUAUAUUUAUAGAACACUCCACCCUAAAACCAAAGGAUAUACCUUCUUCUCAGCAUUCCAUUGUACCUUCUACAAAAUUGACCAUAUAAUCGGUCACAAAACAGGCCUCAACAGAUACAGGAAGAUAGAUAUAAUCCCAUGCAUCCUUUCAAAAAACCACGGACUAAGGCUGCUGAUCAAUAACAACAAAUAGGACAGAAAGCCCACAUAUACAUGGAAGUUGAAGUCAAUGACAACUUGGUCAUUGGAGACAUAAGAAAGAAAUUAAAGACUUCUUAGAAUUUAAUGAAAAUGAAGAUACAACAUACCCAAACUUAUGGGACACAAUAAAAGCAGCGCGAAGAGGAAAACUCAUAGCUCUGUAUGCCUGCAAAAAGAAACAAGAGAGAGCAUAUGUCAGCAGCUUGACAGCACACCUAAAAGCUCUAGAAAAAAUUAAAUAAACCCUAGAGGAGUAGAAGGCAGGAAAUAAUCAAACUCAGGGCUGAAAUCAAACAAGAAGAAACAAAACCGAGUAUCAAAAGAAUCAGCAAACCCAGGAGCUGGUUCUUUGAGAAAAUCAACAAGAUACAUAAAGGCUUAGCCAUAUUAACCAGAGGUCACAGAGAGUGUAUCCAAAUUAAUAAAAUCAAAAAUAAAAGGGAGACAUAACAACAAAAUCUGAAGAAAUUAGAAAGAUCAUCAGAUCCUACUACAAAAAAAAAUAUUCAACAAAACUGGAAAAUGUGGAGGAAAUGGACAAUUUUCUAUACAGAUACCAGGUACCACAGUUAAAUCAGGAACAAAUAAAACAUUGAAACAAACCCAUAACUCAUAAAGACAUAGAAACUGCUAUUAAACAUCUCCCAUCCAAAAAGAGCCCAGGACCAGAUGGAUUUAGUGCAGAAUUCUAUCAGACCUUCAUAGAAGUCUUCAUACCAUUACUGUCCAAACUAUUCCGCAAAAUACAAACAGACAGAGCACUACCAAAUUCCUUCUAUGAAGCCACAAUUACUCUUAUACCUAAACCACACAAAGAUACAACAAAGAUAGAGAAAUUCAGACCUAUUUGAUUUAUGAAUAUUGAUCAAAAAUGCUCAAUAAAAUUCUUGCAAACUGAAUCCAAGAACACAUCCAAACAAUCAUCCAUCAUGAUCAAGUAGGCCUCAUGGCAAGGAUGCAGGGAUGGUUUAAUAUACGGAAGUCCAUCAACGAAAUUCAUCAUAUAAACAAAGUCAAAACCACAUGAUCAUUUCAUUAGAUGCUGAGAAAUCAUUUGACAAAAUUCAUUACCCUUUCAUUAAUAAAGUCCUGGAAAGAUCAGGAAUUGAAGGCCUGAAUCUAAAUAUAGGAAAAUGCAAAAUACAUCAAACCUGUACCUAACAUCAAACUAAACUUAGAGUAUUGAAGGAAUCCCACUAAAAUCAGGGACUAGACAAGGCUGCCCACUCUUUCCCUACUUAAGUACAAUGUGGUACUUAACGUCCUAGCCAUAGCAAUCAAAGAAUGAAAGUAGGUCAAAGGGAAAAAAUUAGAAGGGAUGAAGUCAAAACACUAAUAUUUGAAGAUGAUAUGAUAGUCUACUUAAGCAACACCAAAAUUCUACCAGAGAACUACUUAACCCGAUCAACAACUUCAGCAAACUGUCCGAGUAUAAAAUUAACCAAAACAAUUCAGUAGUCUUUCUCUACUGAAAGGGUACACAGGCUGAGAAAGAAAUUAGGAAAAUGACACCCUACACAAUAGUCCCAAAUAAUAUAAAAUAACUUGCUGUUACUUGAACCAAGCGAGUAAAAAAUCUGUAUGACAAGAACUUCAAAUCUCUGAAGAAAUUGAAGAAGGUCUCAGAAGAUUGAAAGAUCUCCCAUGCUCAUAGAUUGGCAGGAUGAAUAUGGUAAAAAAUGACCAUUUUGCCAAAGGCAAUCUACAGAUUCAAUGCCAUCACUAACAAUAUUCCUACUCAAUUCUUUAUAAAGGUAGAAAGUGCAAUUUGCCAUCAUUUGGUAUACCAUAAAACCCAGGAUAGCAAAACUCUACUCAACAAUAAAAGACCUUCUGGGGAAAUCACCAUCUCUGACCUCAAGCAGUAUUACAGAGCAAUAGUUUGUAUGGUAUUGGCAUACAGACAGGCAGCUCAGGGGAACAUAAUUGAAGACACAGAAAUGAACCCACACACCUAUGGUCAUUUGAUCUUUGACAAAGGAGGUAAAACAUCCAAUGGAAGAAAGAUAGUAUUUUUAACAAAUGGUGCUGGUUCAACUGGAGGUCAACAUGUAGAAGAAUGCAAGUUGACCCAUCCUUAUUACCCUGUACAAAGCUUAAGUCCAAGUGGAUCAAGGACCUCCACAUCAAACCAGAUACACUAAAAGUAAUGCAUAAAAAGUAGGGAAGAGUCUCGAAGACAUGAGCACUAAGGAAAAUUUCCUGAACAAAAUACCAAUGGCUUAUGCUUUAAGAUCAAGAAUCGACAAUUGGGACCUCAUAAAACUGAAAAGCUUCUGUAAGGCAAAGGACAGUGUCAUUAGGACAAAAAGGCAACCCACAGAUUGGGAAAAAAUCUUUACCAAUCCUGCAUCUGAUGGAGGGCUUAUAUCCAAAGUAUACACAAAACAGAAGAAGUUAGAGUACAGAGAGCCAAACACCCCUCUUAAUAAAUGGGGUUCAGAGCUGAAGAAAACAUUCUCAGCUGAGGAAUAUAGAAUAGCGAAAAGCCCCUAAAGAAAUGCUCAAUAUCCUUAGUCAUCAGAGAAAUGCAAAUCAAAACAACCCUAAGAAUCCACCUCACACCAGUCAGGAUGGCUAAGAUCAAAAAAUCAGGUAAGAACAGAUGCUGGCAAGGAUGUGGAGAAAGAGGAACACUUGUCGAUUGUAGCUGGGAUUGCAAACUGGUACAAGCACUCUGGAAAUCAGUCUGAAGGUUCCUCAGAAUUUGGACAUUGCACUACCUGAGCACACAGCUAUACCUGUCCUGGGCAUAUACCCAAAAGAUUCUCCAACAUACAACAACACAUAUGAUCCACUAUGUUCAUAGCAGCCUUAUUCAUAAUAGCCAGAAGCUGGAAUGAACCCAGAUGCCCUUCAACAGAGGAAUGGAUUCGAAAAAUGUGGUACAUCUACACAAUGGAGUACCACUCAGCUAUCAAAAACAAUGACUAUGUUCAAUUCAUAGGCAAAUGGAAAGAACUAGAAAAUAUCAUCCACAGUGAGGUAAUCCAAUCACAGAAAAGCACACUUGGUAUGCUCUUGGGAGCGAUGGCCUUGAAGCCCUCCAUUAUUGAUGUUAUUAUUAUGGUUAGCUUUAAGUAUGACUGGGUUCAUGGAAAAUCCCCAGCCAGCUGCAGAAGACUAAUACAAAUGUGGUGGUCACGAUGAAUAAUCAUAUGAUAAUGUCUGACAUUAAGAUACCCAAAGUCAUGACCUGUAACCUUUCUGGAAAACCAACAUCCUACUGACAAAUAGAUAUGACAAACCUGUGACCUUUCUGACAACCUGUCAACAUCAGCUGAUUCCCUGACCACAGGACUAUUGUGUCCUUGGCGUGGGUAAAUGUUUCUUAAUUCCCCCCUCUCUCUGUUACCCAUUUUAUGGUACAAAUUCAGCGUUGGGGAAAAAUAAAAUUGUCGCCUUGAUCAGACUCUUGUCUUGGAGUCCUUCUUCACCUCUCUUGUCCCUCAUUCUCUUCCAGGUACUCAGCACCCCUCGUUGACAGUAUGUACUCAUUGAUAAGUGGAUAUUGACCAAAACCUCAAAUUACCCAAGAUGCAAUCUACAGAUCUCAGGAAACUCAAGAAGAAGGAUGACCAAAGUGCAGAUGUUCCCACUCCUUCUUAAAAUGGGGAACGAAAAUAUCCAUAGGAGGGGAUAUGGAGGCCAAAUCUAAAGCAGAGACCGAAGGAACAGCCAUUAAGAGUCUGCCCCACAUGUGGCCAUAUAUAUACAGCCACCAAAACUAGAUUUUGGUAGGAAGGCAUCAUCCCAAAAUGUCAUCAGUAAGCAAGAGGAGUGUCUAAAGGAACUGGAGGAACUCAAAUUUGAAAUCCAGAAGUGUCAAUUCGAGAGGGAUGAACUUUAUCAAAUCCUGGAUCUUUAUAUCUAUGAUGAGUGGGACCACAGGUAGUCAUUAUGCCCAGUAACCUGUUCACUGUCUUGCGCUCUCUCUCUGCUACCUCAAGAUUUACUCAUAGCACGAGAAAGUUUCACAUCUCAUCCUGGAUUUUAAGGAGAUUUGGCAGGCAUUUGCUUGUGAGAUGAGCUAGGUGCUGUGUGUUUAGUGUCAACCUCUUUUGUACUUGACCCUGAGCCUCUUGGAUUAGCAUUGGUUCUGUCAACAGCUAGAAUGACCUUGUCACACUUGCUGCAACUGUGUGUGUGAAUGAAAUGCCUGCAUGUCAUCACUCUUUCCUCUGAAUUUGUUCAUUAUACACUGAUUCUAUGGCACCUCCAUGGAUGUAGUUGGCAUUCUAAAUGUGUUUGGAUAUGGGUUGGUGUGUAUAUAUGUGGCAGUAUUUGUUGGUGGUUUACUCUGGAUCAGGACGUCUGGGACCUUUCAAUGGGUCUGAGGAUUUGUUUGAUCAACAGUUUGCAGGUCAUGAGAGUGAUGAGUACAUGGAGGCCCACACUGAUCAACACAGCACUUUGCUCCUUCUGUAUACCUUGGUGGCACACAGGACUCUCCUGAGGGGAGGAGGUGCUAUAAAUCCUCUUCUCUGUCAAACAUACUUAUGCCCUCUGGGAAUUCAUGUAACGAUAGAAACCAAGGAUUGAGUAUACCUGCUUUCAAAACAAGAGAAAUGUCAUCACAGCUUUCUCUUGGGCCCAAAGCUGUGGCACAGACUGGAGGAAUCUUCUUCCUGAACUAGUGAAUUCCAUCAUGCUUACCUGGCCAGCUCUUGAAGGUCAGGUCCCUCCAACUGGUACCGUGACUCUGUUGUCCUGUGCCCGGGAUAAUAAACUUAACCAGUACAAAUACUUUGAAGGAGCAAGUAUGUGGAACAUACUGAGUUUAAGUAAUAGAGAGAACAGUCUGAUUUUACCUAAUUUGUUUCACCUGCUUUGAUCUUUAGUUUUUUUAUUUUUUUAACUAUCCAGGGAUUGUUUAUUGUGACCUAGAAAUGGUCACUGUGUUCUUGACAGUUGUUAUUCCCAAACAGGCAGCUCUCAGGCUCUGCCCCUCCUAUAUAGUGAGUCUUUGCAGAACCAUAUCUCUCAGGAUUCCAAGGAAUCCUUAUUUCAAAACAAAUGUUUGCUUAUUUACAUAGAAAUAUUUUCUGUGGAUUGAGUCUCACUGUUGGGUUUUGGUCUGGUUUUUGAGUUUGCCAUUUUCUUCCCUUCCACCAUUCCUUGAAUUUGAAAUUUUUUAUUAUAUAUUUUUAUUUACAUUUCACCUAAUUCUGAAAUCCUGAGUUCAAAACAUUAUUUGUUCCUUUGGCCAUGACCUAACCCAGGCUGCAUGUCGAAUUGCCAGUCCUUCAAUCUGAACAUGAGAUGAGAAUGAUGGCUAUGCAAAUGAUGACCAACUCAAUAAGUGAUGCCAUGGAGAGGUACAAGGAGCUCAUACAAGUGAACAGUUCCUACCGGUGAGUCGCUGACAGAGAUGAGAACCCAGCACUAGGCAGGGAAUGCUUCUGUCCUGCAUGACUUUAACAAAAGUCAGGGCUCUGGUUCCAUGGUGUUUGACUCUUAACAAACAGCCUGCCUCCUGGCAAGGGUCUUAGAUUUGUAGCUCUUGGACUCAGUUGUCCUACAUGUGAAGGGUGUAGAAGACCCUCCAAUUGUUAUUUUCCCCGUUAAAGUUCCUCUAUAUAGAAAAGGUUUGCACCAUGAUGGCAAUAGCAAUCAACUCUGAAUCUCUAGGACUCUGACAGGAGAUUUAAAGAUCUGUGAUCCAUGAGAAACACAUGGAAAGAGUCUAUAUCUAUUGGGUCUUCAACUACCCCUCAGAGGGGCUUUCCCCACAACGUGAAGAUGGUUUCACCAUACCAUGGACAUACGAGCUCCCUUAUGGACCAUCUCUUCUUCCUUGAUUUAUAUAAACCGUCUUAGUGUCAGGAUUUUCAGAAGUACUUUGAUUCACAGGGAUGUGUCCUCUGGAUUUGACCUCCUCUAAUUGGUGCUAACCUGCAUAGUGUGGCUCUAUUCUGGGGAUUUCUGAGGAUGAGGACCCUGAAGGGAUGAUUGUACUUGCAGGAGUGACAGGCAAAUAGAAGCUGGCUGGGAUUUACCAUUUUUUGUUUGUGGUUCAGCAUCAGGCACUCCCAGCUCCUGCGUGAACAAGCUCAAUUGGAGAACAAUAUACAGAUUUUGCUGAAUGAGAAGAGAGAACUGCUGGUGGAGCAGACUGAACUGCCAGCAUCUUCUGUGGAGACAAAUA